This 66-nucleotide transfer RNA is filed under the name Hermerius intermedia. RNAcentral's name for it is "tRNA-His". It matches the Rfam family "tRNA". Rfam says of the family: Transfer RNA (tRNA) molecules are approximately 80 nucleotides in length. Their secondary structure includes four short double-helical elements and three loops (D, anti-codon, and T loops). The record is from RNAcentral. Lineage: Eukaryota; Metazoa; Arthropoda; Insecta; Coleoptera; Cerambycidae.
AUUCAAAUAGUUUAAAAAUAAAACACUGAUUUGUGGAGUCGGAGAUAUAGUUAAUUAUUUUGGAUA